UACAGAGGUCUCAAGCGUUGUUCGGAUUUAUUGGGCGUAAAGAGCUCGUAGGCGGCUUGUCGCGUCGGCUGUGAAAACCCGCGGCUCAACUGUGGGCGGGCAGCUGAUACGGGCAGGCUGGAGUUCGGUAGGGGAGACUGGAAUUCCUGGUGUAGCGGUGAAAUGCGCAGAUAUCAGGAGGAACACCGGUGGCGAAGGCGGGUCUCUGGGCCGAUACUGACGCUGAGGAGCGAAAGCGUGGGGAGCGAACAGG
This 253-nucleotide ribosomal RNA is filed under the name uncultured bacterium. Its description in RNAcentral is "partial 16S ribosomal RNA". It matches the Rfam family "Bacterial small subunit ribosomal RNA", at positions 524 to 776 of the family's 1533-position model. The record is from RNAcentral.